GCGAGGUCGCGGCGAAGCUGAGGUGAGGUGGUUCUCGGCGGCCGGGCUCUCUGGACGCAGCUGGCGUGCGGCCCUAGCAGAGAAACGCCCCGGGGCGUUAGCCGUCAGGUAAAGGAGGCGGCGGCGUCACAGGCGCCGCUGCAGCGCGGGACAGCCCCGUCACGCAGGCGCCUCUGCCUCGCCGCCAUUGCGGCCCGGGGCUCUCGGGCCUCUGCUCGGCCGCCUCUGCAGAGACAGGGACUCCUCGCCAUCUUUAUCUUUUGGCCUCAGAAUUCAUAAUUAAAGCUCUAACUGCCGUGAAUCUGUUCCUCCUCUGAGUGCAGCAAAUCUUGAAAUAAUGUCUUUGUGACUCUAACAUGAAAUUUUUCAUACUUGGCUAACUGCUGGGGAAAUAUUACCAGAUUGACUUUCUUUCUUACAAAAUGUUAGCACCAAGCAAGAGGAUGACCAAUUCUUCACGUUCCCAGUUUUUGAUGUGGAAGUCAGACAAAGCUCAGACUGGACUCCACAAUAUUGAGAGGGAAAUCCUGGCUUCAAGACUCUUGCGUGAUACUGAGACCUGUCGACAGAAUUUUAGGAAUUUUCUGUACCCAAAUCUGGCUGGUCCUCGAAAGGCAUUGAAUCAACUCCGAGAGCUCUGCCUUAAGUGGCUAAGACCUGAGAUUCACUCAAAGGAACAGAUCCUGGAAAUGCUAUUACUGGAGCAAUUCCUGACCAUCCUACCUGGGGAGGUUAGGACUUGGGUGAAGUCCCAGUACCCAGGGAGCAGCGAGGAAGUUAUAACUCUGGUGGAGGAUUUGACUCAGAUCCUAGAAGAGGAAGCUCCUCCUCAAAACUCUCUUCUUUCUCAAGAGACAACAGAGGAAGAUACUAAAAGAAGACUUACGUGCCAAACUGGUUGGCUAAAUGACAUGACCAAAGAAUCAAUGACAUUCAAAGAUGUGGCUGUGGAUAUCACCCAAGAGGACUGGGAGUUAAUGCGCCCCAUACAGAAAGAAUUAUACAAGACUGUAACAUUACAGAACUAUUGGAACAUGGUUUCUCUGGGACUUACAGUAUACAGACCAACUGUAAUUCCCAUGUUGGAAGAACCAUGGAUGGUGUUAAAAGAAAUUUUAGAAGGACCUAAUCCAGAAUGGAAAACAGAAAACCAAGAAAGUACUCUAGUGGAGAAUAUUUCUAAACACAUGAGAGAAGGAACCCAGGCUAUCAAAUUGGAAAAACCGUAUGACUAUGGUGACAGGUUAGAGAGGCAAGCAGCCGAUACUUACAGCAAAAUUACCACCAAUGAAAGAUAUUUGAAUUUUAAGUCUGACCAUUCACAAGAAGAUGAUCCAACAGAAGAGUAUUUUAGUAAAUAUAGUAUAUAUAGAAAUAAUUUUGAAAAGCAUUCAGACCUACUUGUACAGUUUGGUGCCCUAUCAAAUAAUAAAAUUUCUGUGUAUGAUGAAGUUAGGGCAACCUUCAAUCAUGUCGCUUAUGGUAUUGUACAUAGAAAAAUACUUCCUGGAGAGAAGCCUUAUAAAUGUAAUAUUUGUGGGAAAAAAUUUAGGAGAUACCCAUCUCUAAUGAAACACCAAAGUACCCAUGCCAAAGAAAAAUCUUACGAAUGUGAAGAGUGUGGAAAAGAAUUUAGGCACAUAUCAUCCCUUAUUGCACAUCAGAGAAUGCAUACUGGAGAAAAACCAUAUGAAUGUCACCAGUGUGGUAAAGCCUUCAGCCAGCGUGCACAUCUAACUAUACAUCAGAGAAUUCAUACAGGAGAGAAACCCUAUAAGUGUGAUGACUGCGGGAAAGACUUCAGUCAGCGUGCACACCUCACUAUACAUCAAAGGACACAUACUGGGGAGAAACCAUAUAAGUGCUUGGAAUGCGGUAAAACUUUCAGCCACAGUUCAUCACUGAUUAAUCAUCAGAGAGUUCAUACUGGAGAAAAACCUUAUAUAUGCAAUGAAUGUGGGAAAACUUUCAGUCAAAGUACACACCUUCUUCAACAUCAAAAAAUACAUACUGGAAAGAAACCAUAUAAAUGCAAUGAGUGCUGGAAAGUGUUUAGUCAAAGUACUUACCUUAUUCGACAUCAAAGAAUUCAUUCUGGAGAGAAGUGUUAUAAGUGCAAUGAAUGUGGAAAAGCCUUUGCUCAUUCCUCAACUCUUAUUCAGCAUCAGACAACUCACACUGGAGAGAAAUCCUACAUAUGUAAUAUAUGUGGGAAAGCCUUCAGCCAGAGUGCAAACCUUACUCAGCAUCAUAGAACACACACUGGAGAGAAACCAUAUAAGUGCAGUGUCUGUGGGAAAGCCUUCAGUCAGAGUGUACACCUUACUCAACAUCAGAGAAUUCAUAAUGGAGAAAAGCCCUUUAAAUGCAAUAUAUGUGGGAAAGCAUAUAGACAGGGUGCAAAUCUUACUCAGCAUCAAAGGAUUCAUACGGGAGAGAAACCCUACAAAUGUAAUGAAUGUGGGAAAGCUUUUAUUUAUUCCUCAUCACUUAAUCAACAUCAGAGAACUCAUACUGGAGAAAGGCCCUAUAAAUGUAAUGAAUGUGAUAAAGAUUUUAGCCAGAGAACAUGCCUUAUUCAACACCAGAGAAUUCACACAGGAGAGAAACCCUAUGCAUGCCGUAUAUGUGGUAAAAGUUUCACCCAGAGUACAAACCUUAUUCAGCAUCAGCGUGUUCAUACAGGUGCCAAAAACCGUAAUUAACCUAUAUGGAGAUUUUUGUUUAGAUCUUUAAAAUUAAUUAUUUAAAUCUUAUUUUGUACUCAAAACAUUUAAGAAAAACCUGAAGUGCAAUAUGUAUUAGAUGGCACUCGGCAGAAGUAUCAGAAUUAGUAAUGUCAAUAUAGCCUUUUAAGUUUAAUGUGUUAAGAAGAGAAGUUCAUUCACUUCUUAAUUCUAUAUCAAUUUGCUCUAUUCUAGAAAGAAACCUUAUGAAGGGGUUAUUUCUGACUCUGCACUCAAGAAUUACACCCUGGCAGUGCUCAGGAGACCAUAUGGGAUGCUGGUAAUCAAACCUAGGUCAGCUGCAUGCAAGGCAAACAUCCUACCCACUGUGCUAUUUCGCCAGCCCCUUUUCUCACAAUUUUUAGACAGGUUUCUGAUUAUGAAUCCUGGGGGUUUCUUGAAAAUCUAAGUACUAGGUUUUUGGGAAUUGCAGCUAAUAUUUCAUUUUAUCCUUAAAACUUUAAGACUCUUCAUCCCUCAAUAUCUUCAUCCUUCGGUUAUAACCUCUGAUAGUAGUUUACUUGCAUAUGCUUGUAUAUGAUCUCUUCUUUUUCAGUUAUUCUCAUGACUAUAAUUACCCCUUUGCACACUAUAGCCAUGUAGUGCAAAUAUGUGCACUAUGGUGGUAUGUAUAAAUAUGUGUGUAAAUUUGUAAGCAACAAAGUCCUCUAUAUAGAUGGAAAGACAGACCCAUGAUGCUAAAGUAUCUUGCCUGAGGUCUCAUAGACUAAGAAUUGGACCCCUGGCUUCAACAGUUACUUAGUUCUUCCUGUAAUGUUAAGUGAAAAUUCAGAGUACACAUUAUGUACCUACAAAUUUAUAAAAUUAUUUCCAGGAGAAUAGAGCAUUUAAAAUGCUUUUUUAUUCCCUCAUGUUUAGUCUUCAAAUUCAAAUCUGUAGAUGAAAAUAGCCCCACAGAGGGUACCCUCUUCAGUCUCUGUCCCCCAUCUUUAUAUCUCCCAAGUUUCAGACCCAUCUAGUCAGAGACCCUUUGUUAUCUGGAAAAGGGAUGCAGAGCUUGGGGACCCUCUCUAUCUGGGUUCACCUUCCUGAAAGAAAUAAUUCAGUCAAGAGACUCAGUUAUAGAAAGAAAAUUCAUUUGUUGCCAGUAAAACUUUUCUCUAGCUCAGGGUACAGAGCAGGUGUCCCAAAGAGAAAUGGAUGUCCUGAGAAUAUUUGAGGACCUGUCAUAUUCCAACUUUCUGCCUGUGUUUAACGAUCUUAGUCCCUCCUUUGACUCAACAUGCUCCACUCUAGGGGAGUUUUCUUCCAACUUUGACCUCUGCAAUCUGGUAAAUGGGCUAUCCGGCAUGCUCCUUGAUGAUAAUGAGAUAAGCCAACUCCAAAUAGCAGUCAACUAUAAUCUUUGCAGAGUCCCAAAUCUGUGGCCAUAGUGAGAUGCUAGGCUAAGUAUUUCUUUUGCACCAGGUUGUUUUGACUGUACUAGUCUUUUAAGUUAGAAGCACACAAGAUGUUUUGUUUUAGUGUUUUUUAACCCAGAUCAGGUGCAGCACUAAGUCAUUUCCUAUCUUAAUUUUUAUUGCAAAAGCUCAUUUUUACAUUUUGAGGUGUAUUUUAUCAAGUUUUUUUUUAUCUUACAGAUGAGAAAACUGAGGCACAGAGCUAUAGAUCUUGGCAGAAACCAGAGCUCAUGGUGGCAGGAUAAUCUCUAAGCAGAACAACCAUGGAGCAUGAGCAGGCAGCUUUGGAAAUUCUCCAACACAACUGUUCUGCCUCUGCGCUUAGGACUACCCCGCCAGUUCAGCUUCCUAAGAGCCACGUGCCAGAUGAAGCUGUGGAGCUCCUGGCCACAGGCUACCAUCAUUUGUGAUUAGCUCUCUAUGUGGGGGAGGUUGGGAAGAACUUUGAAGGCCAAUAGAUAAAUAAAGCAGCGUGCAUCCCAGAGGAACAGGAGAGCAAUGAGAGUGAAACAUUUUGCUUCUCUAUGUUCUCCAGGAUUAACUAAAUCAGACAUCUCAGUACCUGGGGCAGCCAGUCUGCUGAGUGAGAUAAUGUUCAGACUUCAUGCCUCUAACCACAGUAUUACAGUUUUUUUUUAUUUCUAACCCAAAGCUCUUGGACUUUUUGUUUGUUUUCCUUGCAGGGAGGUAAAGAGAAGGAGCAAGAGAAAAUGACAUCAAUUUGAGUUUUUUCUCUAGUGCAUAUAAAAAAGAACAGGAGCAAGAGGCCAAGCUUACAAAGACACGAGGGUUCUAAAGAAGGUGCAAGCUAUCUGUAUUAUUGUAAAUGAGUGCUGAAGAGAGGGCUGCAGGGAUGCAUCCUGAGUGAAGGAGCACUCAAAUUAGCAGAGGAAAGGCUUAAUCUGAGAAAGAGCACCAUGCUAGUAAAUGACUGUCAGGCAUGCACCUUGAUGAAAAUCAGAUGAGCCAAUAAUCAGAAGGAAACAAAUGCACAUGAGAUGCUUUUGUGUCCCUUUUAUAAUUUUCCUCUCACAGUUCUGUUUGUUAAGAAGUUGGUGUUCGGCAAUUAUAUUGUAGAUAUUAAUAUGAGGUCAUGAAACCAAAAGAUAGGAAUGAAAAGGGAAAGCAAUACAUUACAGAAAACUAAGCUUGUGGGAGUCAUUAACUUUAUAGAGAAUUGUAAGUAAGCAUUCCCUUUGUCUCUGUGUCAGGGAUACACAAGGCCCAUGGAAUAGCCUUCCUUUGUUGGUCUGUGUGCCAUUUCCAGCUGUGCUUAGGGUUUACUCUUGGCUCUGCUUUCAGGGAUCACUCCUGGUGAGCUUGGAGGACCAUAUGGGAUACCAAAGAUAGAACCUGGGUCAGCUAUGUGCAAGGCAAGCACUCUAUUCAGUGCUGUCUCUUAAGCCCCUAUAUCUUUUCUAGAGUACAAAAUCCCAUAAAGUUUGGAACUCUUCCACUAAGAACCUGGUUGCUACAGUGGAGCAAUCGUACAGCAGGCAGGGCACUUCUUACAUGUAGCUGAUCCAAGUUUGAUCCCGUCAUCCCAUGUGGUCAUGAUCCCCUGAGCCUGCCACGAGUUAUUCCUGUGCACGGAACCAGGAGUAAGCACAACUGGGUGUGCCCCCCAAAAAUACAAAAAAAUAAAAAUAAAAGAACUGUGUGCCAUUCUGGCAUCUGGGAUAAAGCAGAUAGGAGACAAAGUUGCCUGUUAAAAGUCUACAACUUAAUUGAAAAAAAAAAAACUCACUGAUUUAAAACUACUGUGGGAGCUGGAGAGAGGCAAGAAAGCAUUCCCUGCAUUGCCCCCUAACGCUCACCAAGACUAAUGGCCCCAGUGACAAUGCCAGCCAAGCACCUAAUUGAAGGGUCAGCAUCAUGCAGCUGAGAAUUGCUAGAGGGGUGUUCACCUUGCCUGCUCCCUUACCCAAAAAACCCUAUAGUACAAUAGUCAUUCUGAGCAUCGUGCUUUACACUGGUUGAAAGACCUCCUGAUUCAUGAAUUUCAAAUUUUGGUGUCAGCACCCAUUUUAGUAUAGUUUCUUUUCUGUUCAAUAGCAAGGUUGUGAACCAUAAAAAAAAAUGCCACAAUAUCUGAAAUAUUUACCAUUCCUUUACAGACCGUUAGCCAACUCUGUCAAUGCAGAGCUGGGGGAGGUUUAGGUCUGUUAGCUAACAUGUCCAGCAUGCGGGCUGUUGGAAGAGAGCACUGUAGCACGCAGGCAUGUGUGGGGAAGGGUGCCCGCUGCGGUCCACAAGGAAGUGGCCUUCAGUGGUGCCAGGCAGUCCCGGACGAGCAAUGCCGCCCUCUGCCGACCUUCCUUGCCCGGGUUUGCGACAUUUGUUCUGGGCGCGUUUGGCAGUGCUUCCCUUGUGGUGUGGUUCCUGCGUUCUUCAAUUCCUUAGGCUCUUGCGAUAAAAAAAAAAAAAACCGGCUUCCUUGGCACUCUGUUCCCCACUCUUUGUCGCCUCAUCCUAAAAGUUGGUCGUUCCCCCAAGCAAGAGCGUCGGGAGGGCCGUUUCUUCCUAGUAAGCCCUCUCUUCACUUCAGGGUGACACGCUAUUCCGCGUGGACAGCCGUCACGGUGAGACCCUGUUACACCCACUCCACGCGGACAGCCCACCGCGCCUCCAGGAAGCUGCAAGUCCACCCUCCCCCACGACCACCAUCACACACACGCACACACACACACUCGCGCGCGCACAUGCUCACAUACACACGCAUAUGCACGCGCACACGCACGCACACGCGUACACAUAAGCGCGCACACGCGUACACCCACGCACACACGUACACUCGCACCACUUGCAAGCCUCUGGCUGGGCCCAGCUGAGCGGGAAGAACACUCCGCAGUGUGGCGCAGCCAGCCAGCAGCCUCGGAGACAAGAGUGCCAGCCUGUCCCGGACAGGCCGUGAGGGCGUCCCCUUCCCUCCGCCACCCCUGUCCUGCCUCCCCCAGAUUCCCCAGAAUUCUCCCCAGGAGUGCCCCGCGGGAGCAGAGAGCUGGGGUGAAAGGGAGGUAUGCCCUGAGCCCGAGGUGCCUGUCUAGCGGAGCUGCUUUAGGGGGAUGUAGCUUUGCCAGCAGAGGGACGUGCAGACCUCAAGUUCAACAAAUUUUAGUAAGCACAUUGGCCUCCAUCGUAGCGGCCAAUAUUAAAAGCCUGUAACGAUUGUUUAAUGACCAGCUUUGUAAACCAUGGUGCUCAAAUGAAGUAUUUUGAUUUCAAAAAAAGAAAAAAAAUAGUAUAGAAAUAUCAAAUGCCCAAAGGCAAUAGAAAUGAGGUGCAGGAGAACUAACUGAUCUUCAGUAGGAAAGAUCACUUGGUCAUGUCUUGGGGAAAUAAGUUAGGAAAAGGAACACUAGAACAAUCACAGAGAGGGAAAGUGCCCCCCAGAGACACAGGCUGAGAGUGGGAGGGGAAACUUGGGACCUUGGUGGAGAGCAGUGAACUCUGGUGAAGGGUGUUGAAACAUUGUACACCUGAAAAUCACAAAUAUCUUUGUAACUACAUAAUUCAUGGUGAUUCAAUCAAAAUUAGUUAAUUUUUGGAGUUGGAGCAAUAGUACAGCAGGUAAGGCACACCUUACACACGGUCAACCCAAGUUCAAUUCCCGGCAUAUCAUAUGGUCCCCCAAGCACCACCAAGAGUAAUUCCUGAGUGCAGAGCCAGGAGUAACCCCACCCCUGAGCAUUACUGGGUGUGACCCAAAAAAGCAAAAAUCAGUAACAAUAAUAAUUUUUUUAAAAGAUUAAUGGUUCUUUUUCUCUCUCUUCCUUUAGUGUUGUUACUAUUGUCAUUGCUGUGAUGUCAAGAGCCACCCAUUUGUGACCACAGCCACAUCACAAUGGGGAUCACAACAGUAGUGCUAAGUAUAACAGGACAUGGGCAGUGCUGAGGAUCAAACUUAGACUCAUUAAUGCAAUGCAGACACUAUCAUUUAACUUUUUUUAGAUUUUUAGAUUUAAUUUUUAAUAUUUUUCUAUUUUAUUGAAGCACCAUGAGAGCAUUACAAAGUUGUUCAUGAUUGAGUUUCAGUCAUACAAUGUUCCAACACCCAUCCUUCCACCAGUGUAAUUUUUCAGUACCAGUGUCCUCAGUUUUCCCCCUCUCACCUCCCCAAACCAUCCCUCAGCCCAGCCUGCCUUUAUGGCCGGCACCUAAAUUCUCUCUUUCUUUCUCUCCCUCAUUUUAGGCAUUAUGGUUUGCAAUACAGAUGCUUAUUGCAAAAAAAUAAAGGUUAUCAGGUAUUGUUGGAUGUUAACCCUAAGUGUUUUAGGCUUCAUCAGUGAAUUGCCCCUUUUCCUCCUCCCAGAGAAGCUUACUGUGCUUUUGCUAGCAUCCCAAACUCAAAGUUUAACUUUAACUUUUCCUUUGUGUUUUACCUCUCUUUGUUUUAGGUCCCCAAGUCAGUCUUGAUUAUUUAUAAGCCAGAACUUUCUGGUAAUUCUGUCCUUCAUAUUUCAAGUGCUGUGUAUUUGUACCUGCUUUUCUAUUUCCCUAUAGUCUUUUAAUAUUUUACUAUAGAGCAAUGUUUUUUGAUUAAACAUAGAUAUUGGUGCCCAACCAGACUGUGAGGAUGAGCCUAUGGAGACCGACCCGCAGGCAGGUAGAAACACAUCCCAUAAUAAUGGGUGAGCCAUAACUCGUGUGUCCAGACUGAUCUAGACAGGGUUGACAUCUCUUCCUUUGGCUGCCUUUUAGCUCUUAGUAUUACAUAGAUGCAAUCUUCCCUUUUUCACAGAUCCCUAACCCAGCUCAGCUUUGGAAUACAGUCUCUCACAUCCCCUUAUCACUCCAAGUGCAAGGGACUGUAGCUCAUGGUGCCAGACUGCUUUGCUUGGCCUUGGAUUCCUCUCUGGAAGCUGCGACCUUUGGGCUUACAGAUGUGAUAAGACAAUGUGGCCUUGAUGUCUUGAUGUCCCUCCUGUAACCCCUAUUUCCUGUUAAUGAUUCCUUUGUACUGAGUUCAUUAGAUGCAUGUAUGUAGGAUAGUGAAUAAAAGAGGCCGUUGGACACUUCUUCACCACUGCCAUGCCAGAGCAAGCUAGCAGCCCUCCAGCCAUUCUUCUCGUGGUUCUAUCUCUGUGCCCCCGAUGGAAAGAAUAUUCACACAACACACAGAAAGACCAUUAAUGCUAUGCUCCAAAUAUUUGGGAGUUGAUUGACUCUGAAAUGUAUCUACUCCUGGGCUUUGGUCAUGAUCACUUGACUCAGGCUUCAGUUGCUGUAGUUCCUAAGACCCCAAGAGGAAGGUCCCACCAUGGGACUGGGAUGGACCCGGGGCAAGUGGCGAAGCUACCCCAGCAUCAAAAUGGGACAGUCUAGAAAACAUAAAUGCAUGUUUUGAUGUAAGCUGUUAUGACUUAAGAGACAGGACCCCCAUGGGAAGGCCAAGCUGAACUGGCCUGAGGACCUAGUCUGGUAUUUACAGUAAAAGACUUGCUUGCUCUCAGAGCCCAGAGAACUAAGUUUGGGGAUCUUUAUCUCUUACUGUGUUUAUCUAAAUAACUGCAGGUAUUGAUAAGAAGUAAACUUAAUUGGUUAACAUAUACAACUAGAGGAGCUGGAGCGAUAGCAUAGCAGUAGGGCGUUCGCCGUACAUGUGGCCCACCCGGGUUCAAUUCCUCCACCCCUCUCGGAGAGCCCAGCAAACUACCGAAAGUAUCUCGCCCCCCCGGCAGGGUCUGGCAAGCUACCUGUGGCGUAUUCGAUAUGCCAAAAACAGUAACAACAAGUCUCAAAAUGGAGAUGUUUCUGGUGCCCGCUCGAGCAAAUCGAUGAGCAAUGGGAUGACAGUGAUACAGCGUACAACUAGAAGGAAAGACAAAAGCAUUGUAGAUGUCCCUGGGAGACAGUUCUCCUUGAGUUAAUCUCCCCAAGAGAAUUGCCUCUGCUAAAUGUUUUAUCUCUGUAAAUGAUCAGUCACAUCUAUGUCCUAUACCUCAAACCCCCUCAGAUGUUCUAUAAGUAUGCUAGCAGCUCUGCAUUAAAUGGGCCAUUUUCACCAUCAGGCUGUGGUCUCCCAUCUCUCUGUCUCUCUACUGGGGAGGCCUGGGGAGGACAGGAGGUGGCUCUUGACCACCGAACACAUGAGUUGUGCAGCACUCACAAACUUUGUGAACUCAUAGCAACCGAAGUCUGAGUCGAGUAAUUAUGACAGAUGCUAAGGAGAGGAGUAGAUCUAUUUCAGAGUUACUCAACUCCCAAACAUUAGGAGCACAGUAUUAAUGGUCUUUCUGUGUUUAAGCAAAGAACAUUGCUCUAUAGUAAAAUAUGAAAAGGAUACAGGGAAAAUAGAAAAGCAGGUAAUUUCUACAAAUACAAAGUCCAAAGUUACCAGUAAGUUUUGGCUUAUACGUAACCAAGACUGACAAUGAGAGGUAAAACACAAAGGAAGGUUAAAGAUAAAUUCCAGGGAUAAGGGGCAUUUGCAAGAGCAUUGUAAGCUUCUCUGGGAGGAGUAAAAAGGACAAUUCACUGAUGAAGCCUAUAAAACUUAGGGUUACUCUCCAACAGUGCACGAUUCUGUUUUUGUCCAGGCCUGGCCUUUGUAGCCCUUUGGGGGCCCUCAAGAUUUUUUGCUCCACCGAUAUAUGACUUUGCAAUGGGUAACACUGCUCCCUAACCCAGCCUGAUCAUGUUGGUGCUGUCUGAGUGGCCCAUCUUUAAGGUUCUGGAUGAAAAGAAACUUCAAGAGAUUGAUAGUUUGUGCAAAUAAUUUGGAAGUUCAGAGAAAUAAGUAAAAUAGCAAAGCUAAAACAUUUUUUUAAUUUUUUUUUCAAAGCUAAAACAUUUUAAGAAAUUUCAGGAUAUAGCAGAAGCAUGAGUAGGGAAAGUUGUAUCCACUAUCCUGUUAUGAUGAACUUAAGAGGAAUCUGUUCACAGAUGGAUUAACUCCUGGGUUAGGAAUGGCAGCUGCAUUCCUUGGAUUGGCAAUUUACUCCAAUAUAGAUUUGAAAUUUAGCAUGAAUAAUGUGAACCCAGUGUGCAGGCAAUUUCCUUGUUGGGUGAUUUAGAUUGAUAAUUAAACAACUUAGCGCAUAGAGAUAGUACAGGAGAUAGAGAUCUUACCUUGCAUGUGACCCACACAGGUUCAAUACCCAGCAUCACAUAUGGUCCCCUAAGCCCUCCAGGAGUGAUCCCUGAGUGCAAAGUCAGGAAUAAGUCCUGAGUAUCACUGGGUGUGGUCCAAAAACAAAACAACAACAAAAAAUAAAUAACUAUAUUAUGUAUUGUAAAGAAUGGUUUAUAAAUUCUGAGGUGUCCCAUCUGGGGUACCAGUUAUCUAAGUCACCAUGUCAUGAUAACGAGGGUGUGUCUCUUGAUGUGUUUGGGGCUGACGACCAUUCCCCCAACUGAUGGAUGAAAAAAACAGAUCUGAAGGCUGGUAAAUAGUGGGACUUUAUUAAAAUCUAUCUGCAUUAUUAUAGAGAAAUCAUGAAAGGUUGGGGAAGAGGGGGGGAAGCAAUUACACAUAGGUGUGGUUGAACAUUAAUAUAAACAAUGAACAGAUGUAAAUCUCCUCCUUCAGGAGGAGAUAUAGCCAAGGAUGGAAUUUCAUCUAAGGGCUCCAGCACUCUAGAUUCUUCUUAGGAGAUCGGCCCAAGAGUGGAAUUCCAUCUAAGGGCAUAUUGGUUUCCUUUCCUUUCCUUUCCUUUACUGGUAAAAUCCAUUUAAACAAUCAUUAAAUUUACUUAUUAAAUAUUUCUAGUCAUUUUGCAUAAGUAGUAAGAGAUAUAUACUUUAAUCUAUACCCUAGAUUAGUCUCAAAUGGUCUCUCUGGAAUAAUGGUAAAGAGUAGCAUUUCCUGGGGAUAUAUCGCUAUAUUUCCUAGCGUACAGUCCAGGUUAGUUUUUCUUAACCCCAAUAGGGAACUUAUUCAGUUACUUCUUUUUGGGUCAUGUCAGAGUUUAUUCCAUGACUGUACUCUUUUGUUUUUUUGAAUCGCCAUGAGAUAGAGUUACAAAAUUUUCAUGUUUGAAGUUCAGUCAUACAAUGAUCAAACACCAUCCCUCCAUCAGUGCACAUUUUCCACUACCAUAACUGUACCUUUUUUUAAAAAAAAUUAUUUUUUAAUGAAUCACCAUGAGGUACAGUUACAGACUUACAAAUUUUCAUGCUUACAUUUCAGUCAUACAAUGAUCGAGUGCCGAGUGCCCAUCCCUACAUCAGUGCCCAUCUCCACCACCAAUGUUCCCAGUAUCCCUCCCAUCCCCCCAUUCCACCUGCCCUCCCCCACUCCACCUCUGUGAUAGGCACAUUCCUUUUUACUUUCUCUCUCCUUUAGGGUGUUGUGGUCUGCAAUGCAAGUAUUGAAUGACCAUCAUGUUCGUCUAUAGCCUACUUUAGGCACUCAUCUCCCAUCCCGAGCAGGCCCUCUAAACACUCUUUACUUGGUGGUCCCUUCUCUAUCUGAGCUGCCUUUUCCCCCAGCAUGUGAGGCUGGCUUCCAAAAAGUGAAGCAAACCUCCUAGUACUUAUCUCUACUUGGUUCUUAGUAUCUCAUUCUGUUACUUUAUAUUCCACAAAUGAGUGCAAUCUUUCUAUGUCUGUCCCUCUCUUUCUGACUCAUUUCACUCAACAUGAUACUUUCCAUGUUGAUCCACUUAUGUGCAAAGUUCAUGACUUCAUCUUUUCUAACAACUUCAUAGUAUUCCUUUGUGUAGCUGUACCAGUUUCUUUAACUAGUCAUCUGGUUUUGGGCACUCAGGUUUUUUCCAGAUUCUGGCUAUUGUAAACACAUGACUGUACUCUUAACUAACUGUACUUCUUAUGGUGCUUAGGCUGUCCCACAUUGAAGUGAGGGUAGCUUACAGUUUGCCCUGGGUCCAUCCAAUCCCUCUGUGGGACCCACCUUUUGAGGUGUAAGGAACUAAGGUCAAUCUAAAAGCAAUUAAGGCUUUAGUCAAGUAAAUAUGAUGGAUUCCCAGAGUCUGUUAAUAUUAUGCUUUUAUAAUUGACUCAACUACAAAAGCAUAACAUUAACUGUAUUCCUGUGUCUAUACAAAAUGGACAUUGCUCAAAAAAAUAAAACUAUGCAAAGGUCAUAAAGGAAAGACAAAAGCAAUAUUUCACUUGCAUGUACAAAAUCCAGAGUCAUAGAAGGUUUGACUUUACAAGUUACCAUGUCUGAUUUGAAGAUAUUUGUGACUAACAGAUAGGGGAAGAAGAGCACAAAGGAGAGGUUAAAGGUAAACACAGAAGAUUGGGAGUGUCCCUAUGAAAAUAGAUAUGUCUCCAGGAGCACUAGUGUGGGUGUUCCUAAGCUCUCUGCAGGAGGGAAAAGGACAACCCAAUGUUAAGCCUAAAGUGCUUGGAACUGGCUCUCACUAAGUCAGGGAUGGGUGACAUCCUCCAUCUCCCUGUUCUUUCAGGAGCCUGGCAGUCAUGUCCACGAAUUGCCUCUGGCACUAUGUAAGCUCAUUAAUGGCCAUGAUCCAGAGACUCACAGAUAAAUUUCAAAAUCUCGGAAGAGAGGAACACACCACAAAGAUGCCUCUGGACCCCAAAGUCACCAUCCAUUUAAAAAUUUAACUCCACUUGUAUCACCCUAUUUAAAAUUUUAGAAUUCUUGAAGCAAUAGCUCAUGCCCUACCCCACUGGUGUACUAAGAGUAGCUCAGCACAUUUGAUGGGGUGUAAAGUAGAAGGCAAUCAAUCUUGGUAAAAAAAUUAAAUUAGUACACAAGUCUCAACCUGUAACAUGUUAGUAAUCUCUUAAUGUGAUGACGUGUUCGAGGGCUCUCAGGGCUCUCUCUCUCUCUCUCUCUCUCUCUCUAUCUAUCUAUCUAUCUAUCUCUCACCACUCAUGUUCGGUGCUCUCGAGCCUCUGUGUAUGGACUGAAUCGGGAUGGCUCCUCCUUUGGGCUCUGUUUCUGUGUGUGCCGCAGUGCUCUCUUCCAUCUGUCUCUUUAUCUCUGACUCUGUCUCUGUCACCUCUCCUUUGGUCUCUUCCGAUCUCUCUCUGGAGCCCUUCUGCUUCUCUCUCUUCUGACUCUGACCCUUCCAAUCUAACAAUAUUAGUUUAUAUAGCAAUCACAUAGGGUGGUGAUACAAAGGUGGGUUAAAUAUUAACAAAUCAACAAAGAGAGGUAAGACCACUUCUCCAGGUGAUUAACUCAAGGACCAAAUCUCAUCUAAGGAGAUUACUCCAGAUUACUAGGAGAUCCUCUUAAGGGCAGGAUCCCAUCCAGGGUGUGUUGCUUUCUUCUUUCCUCAGCUAGUAAUCCACUUAAUUAGUUGUAGUAAAUCUACUUCUAAUAUUUCUAGCAAUGUCAUUCUGUAUGAGCACAGUAAGAGAUAUAUCAAACUUAAAGCUUGGUUCUUCCAAGGACAUCUCAUUAUAUAUUCCAGACCACAGUCCUCAGGUCAGGCUAGUCUUCCUAACCCCAGCAGGGUCCUAGUCUCGUCAUUACUUUUGGAUCAUGACAGCAUUUGUCUAUGACCAUGCUCCCAAUUUAUAGUUGAGUAUUGUGGUGCUUUGGCCUGGCUCAUUUUGAUGCCAGGAUAGCUCACAGCUUGCCCUGGAUCCAUUCAGUUCCUCGUCGGGACCCUGCUUUUGGGGUGCUAGGAACUAAGGGCAACUGAGUCGAGAAAGCAGAUGCCCAGGAGUAAAUAUUAUUCAGAGUCAAUCAACUCCCAAGCUAAAAGAACAUAAUAUUAACUGUCUUCCUAUAUCCAUACAGAAAGGACUUUGCUUAAAAGGUAUAGUAGAAAUGACAUCUGCAUUUGUAUGUUCAUUGCAGCACUGUUUACAAUAGCUAAAAUCUGGAGAAAAUAAAAGAGUGCCCCCAAAUAGAUGACUGGUUGAAGAAAUUUUGGUACAUCUACACAGUUGGAAUGCCCUGCCUAAGAGGCAGAGUGGGGUGGUGGAGGAUGGGGUGGGGGUGGUGGGAGGGAUACUGGGAACAUUGGUGGAGGAGAAUGGGCACUGGUGGAGGGAUGGGUAAAUUAUCACUGUAUGACUGAAAUGCAAACACGAAAGUUUGUAACUGUACCUCAUAGUGAUUCACUAAUAAAUUUUUUUUAAAAAAGGACAUUUAAGGUAAACUUCCCUGCUCCAAGGCUGAAAAGACAAACCCGAUGUUAUCCUACACUGACCAGUGUUAUCCAAUAGAAGAGAUAAAAGUGGCUGAAGAGUUACCAUUGGUAAUCAAGAUUUCAGAAGAUAUUUGGAACAUUUUGCACCUGUGAACUUAGGCGAUUAAAAUUUAAGAAUAUAGAAUACAGCUCUAAAACUAUAAAAACAAAUAACAGGGGUUAGAGAGAUAGUACAGUGGGUAGGCUGCUUGCCUUGCAUGUGGCCCACCUGGGUUCAAUCCCCAACAGUCCCAUAUAGUCCCCUGAGCAUGGCCAGGAGCCUAAUCCCUAAGCAUAGAGCCAGGAGUAAACCCUGCACAUUUCUGCAUGUGACCCCAAAACAAACAAAAAUGGUUGAGGAGUUAGUUGAAGUAAAACUUAUUGAUUAUUAAAGAUUCUCUUUUGAAUUUGGCCAAACAUGCAGCUUCAACAGUUUAGAUUCUUGAAAAGGCACUCGCACUCUUCAGAACCCUCAUAUCUAAAAAGUAUGUUCUUAAAUAUGGUCUCAUUUAUUCUUUUUCUCUUAUAUGCCAAUCAAGUAUCAAAAACAAAGGAAAGAUUUCUCUAAUCCUGGCAGCCAAGACUGUUCUAGCUAUAAAGUGUGAUACUUUUGGUAAAGAUUUUAGUUCUGCCAUGGGAGCUGAAAACACAAAUGAGUGACCAGUUUUUAGGACCCUGACAAAUAUGUGGAUAAGGAAAAGGUAUUGGUGAACAUAGAAAAAAAUAUGGAUAUGAAAGUGAAGACUUACAAUCCUUUUAGUGAUUCUACGCUGCCAACCAGUUCGAAAUAGUUCAAGAUAAAACAUGUACCUAUAAAAGAAGGAGUUACUGAAAAAGAAAGUCCAAAAAGUCAAGAAAGAAGAAGGAUAAGACAGAGUAAUAGAGGUGAGAUAACAGGAAACAUCUGUGAAAAAAAAAGUAAAAGGAUAACAAGACACACAUAAAGGAAGAUGUGGUUUCUGAGAAAGAGUCAUGCAGUAUCACAACAAAUAUGAACCCAGAGAAAAAGAAGAAAUAGAAAACAUAAAAUGAGGAUUAAUGGAAGGGAAAUGUAAUGAAUCAACUGAAUACAUCAGGCUUAAGAUAAACCAGGAACGUGCUAGAAAUGCUCUAUAAUAAUCCAAGGGAAACUGGAUGAAACAAAGAAGUGAUAAUUCUUAUAUAUAUAUGCAGCUCUUGACAUAAACUUCUAACUUUAUGAUGUCAUCAUUUUUGGAAUUUUUCUUGUACAAAUAAAAAUACUUUUCUUUGUGUA
RNA transcript from Sorex araneus (European shrew), 16480 nucleotides. It is a transcript of the gene named zinc finger protein 287, with no coding region annotated. Lineage: Eukaryota; Metazoa; Chordata; Mammalia; Eulipotyphla; Soricidae. The transcript has 7 exons. The record is from RefSeq and is a predicted model, not a curated record.